CUUACCGUGAGGGCAGCUCAUGACUAUCAAACGACAUCCCAUCAUGGCGUGCGAGUCACCUAAGCAUUGGCCAGGCACGGUGCCUGCUUUACUUAUAUAGAGCCAGCCGGCAGCCAGCAUACCGAUGGUCAUCUCAUGACUUUUAAAUGACAUCCCAUCGAGGCGGGAGAGUCACCUAAGCACUGGCCAGGCACGGUACCUGCUUUACUUAUAUAGAGCCAGCCGGCAGCCAGCUUACCGUGAGGUCACCCCAUGACUUUUAAAUGACAUCCCAUCGUGGCGGGAGAGUCACCUAAGCACUGGCCAGGCACGGUGCUUGCUUUACUUAUAUAGAGCCAGCCGGCUUACCGUGAGGUCACCCCAUGACUUUUAAAUGACAUCCCAUCGUGGCGGGAGAGUCACCUAAGCACUGGCCAGGCACGGUGCUUGCUUUACUUAUAUAGAGCCAGCCGGCAGCCAGCUUACCGUGAGGUCACCCCAUGACUUUUAAAUAACAACACAUCGUGGCGCCAAAGAUAUUGUUUAGAUCGGGUCACUAUAGCAUAUAGCUGUCAUACAAACUAACCGAUCGAAAUCAAGCGCAUGUAAGGAGUCUUUUGCAUAUGUGAAGGGUAUUACAGCUUCGGUGCAACCGAAGUUAAUGUUUUUUAUUGUUUUUAAUUAAAUUUUCUUAGUGCUUAUGUAUUUAUUGAUAAUGGUUUAUAUAACGACAUACAUACAUACAGACAUAUUUACACAAUAUAUAUGCACAUAACCAAACAUUAAUAGUGAAAAACUAAAAAAAAACAACAAGCAAAACAAAAAUUAAUAUUACACAAAAAUACUGAAACAAGUCAAAAAGCCGGGAAGCUGACCACUUUAAUAUCGAGCUGCAAUUAAGUAGAAUAAUAUUCAUAUAUAUUUAUAUAAAUGUCUUAAUACAUGCAUAUAUACAUAUACAUACAUAUACAGUAUUUCCAACUGUAGUAGCCAACGUUGAAACAUAUAAAUGUAUUAAUACACAUAAGUACAUAUGUGCACGGAAGCAGAUUUGCCAAAUACAUGUAUGUAUAUGUACGCAUACAAUUAUAUUAUAUAAUAUAUACUCAUACAUAUACAAUGUAUAAGUUCAUAUACCGCAGGUAUAUUUUUACUAAGGAUUAUGCCGGGAAUAAAAAUAAUUUUUAAUUCAUUCUUCAACCGCCUAUAUAUUGUACUUAUUAGUAUUUGUAUAUAUUUUAAGUAUGUAUGUAUGUGUAAUGUAUACUUGACAAAACAGCAACGUUUGCUUAUGCAAAAUGUGCUAAGAAACCAACAUUGUAAAUUAAUAAUAUGAUUUUUUUAUUAUUGUAUGUAUGUAUGUAUGUGCGCUCGUUUUUUUUACCGCUGUUAUAAUGUAAAAAUAUUUAGUUUGUCGAAGAGAAAAAACAUACAUACAUACGAGUACAUGCUGUAUGUACUCACUUGGCAUAUUGAGAUAACGUACACAUUUUUAGGCAUUUAUGCAUUUUCGGACACAUACAUAUAAACAAAAAAAUAAAAUAAAAAAACAUACCUACAUACAUUCAUCUCUAUGCAUAUGAUGUAUGAAUUGUAUGCUUAAACGAAAACGAAAUAUGGGAAUCCAGUAACUUUGGUGAUCUUUUGAGCGUCGAAACACGACACAAUCUUAAAAUAAAAAUAAAAGACAAAAACAAUACUUCUUUAUAAAUGUAAUUUGUAACGCAUAAGUAAUCAACACCACCACAACAACUAUAUAAUGUUAAAGGUAAAAAAAAUAAAUAACCAUAAAUAAAUCUUAAAA
Bactrocera oleae (olive fruit fly) is the source of this 1783-nucleotide non-coding RNA. Lineage: Eukaryota; Metazoa; Arthropoda; Insecta; Diptera; Tephritidae. The record is from RefSeq and is a predicted model, not a curated record.